AAUUGGAGGGCAAGUCUGGUGCCAGCAGCCGCGGUAAUUCCAGCUCCAAUAGCGUAUAUUAAAGUUGUUGCAGUUAAAAAGCUCGUAGUUGAAUUUCGAGACCGGCUUACUGGUCGUGCUAUCGUACGUACUGGUAUAAUCGGUUUCUCCUUUCUGACGAACUAUAAUGCCAUUAAUUUGGUGUUUUAGGGAAUCAGGACUGUUACUUUGAAAAAAUUAGAGUGUUUAAAGCAGGCUCACGCUUGAAUACAUUAGCAUGGAAUAACGGAAUAGGACGUUUGAUUCUAUUCUGUUGGUUUCUAGGAUCGACGUAAUGAUUAAUAGGGAUAGUUGGGGGCAUUAGUAUUCAAUUGUCAGAGGUGAAAUUCUUGGAUUUAUUGAAGACUAACUACUGCGAAAGCAUUUGCCAAGGAUGUUUUCAUUAAUCAAGAACGAAAGUUAGGGAAUCGAAGACGAUCAGAUACCGUCGUAGUCUUAACCAUAAACUAUGCCGACUAGGGAUCGGAUGAUGUUAAUUUUUUAAUGACUCAUUCGGCGCCUUACGGGAAACCAAAGUGU
This 558-nucleotide ribosomal RNA is filed under the name uncultured Glomus. RNAcentral's name for it is "SSU rRNA". It matches the Rfam family "Eukaryotic small subunit ribosomal RNA", at positions 546 to 1106 of the family's 1831-position model. The record is from RNAcentral. Lineage: Eukaryota; Fungi; Glomeromycota; Glomeromycetes; Glomerales; Glomeraceae.